Molecule: ribosomal RNA, 563 nt
Filed under: Trichoderma pleuroticola
Lineage: Eukaryota; Fungi; Ascomycota; Sordariomycetes; Hypocreales; Hypocreaceae
Description: eukaryotic LSU rRNA
Rfam family: 5.8S ribosomal RNA (bases 185-338)
Source: RNAcentral
CCAACCCAAUGUGACGUUACCAAACUGUUGCCUCGGCGGGAUCUCUGCCCCGGGUGCGUCGCAGCCCCGGACCAAGGCGCCCGCCGGAGGACCAACCAAAACUCUUAUUGUAUACCCCCUCGCGGGUUUUUUUAUAAUCUGAGCCUUCUCGGCGCCCCUCGUGGGCGUUUCGAAAAUGAAUCAAAACUUUCAACAACGGAUCUCUUGGUUCUGGCAUCGAUGAAGAACGCAGCGAAAUGCGAUAAGUAAUGUGAAUUGCAGAAUUCAGUGAAUCAUCGAAUCUUUGAACGCACAUUGCGCCCGCCAGUAUUCUGGCGGGCAUGCCUGUCCGAGCGUCAUUUCAACCCUCGAACCCCUCCGGGGGGUCGGCGUUGGGGAUCGGCCCUCCCUCUGCGGGGGCCGUCUCCGAAAUACAGUGGCGGUCUCGCCGCAGCCUCUCCUGCGCAGUAGUUUGCACACUCGCACCGGGAGCGCGGCGCGUCCACAGCCGUUAAACACCCAACUUUCUGAAAUGUUGACCUCGGAUCAGGUAGGAAUACCCGCUGAACUUAAGCAUAUCAAUA